AAAAACGCCGCUAUAGAACAUGACCUUUAGCAGCGCUUUUUCCACAAACGCCGCUGUAGGACAUGACCUUUAGCGGCGCUUUUCCUAAAAACGCCACUAAAGGUCAUGUUCUUUAGUGCCGUUUUUA
Molecule: microRNA precursor, 127 nt
Filed under: Gossypium raimondii (Peruvian cotton)
Lineage: Eukaryota; Viridiplantae; Streptophyta; Magnoliopsida; Malvales; Malvaceae
Description: miR7492l stem-loop (gra-MIR7492l)
Source: miRBase by way of RNAcentral